This is an RNA transcript of Nicotiana tabacum (common tobacco), 3204 nucleotides long. RefSeq lists it as uncharacterized. NCBI's taxonomy places the organism in Eukaryota, Viridiplantae, Streptophyta, Magnoliopsida, Solanales, Solanaceae. The record is from RefSeq and is a predicted model, not a curated record.
GUUAUGCAUAUUGUUAGAGUAAAAUAUCUAUUUCUCCUCAUCUUCCUUCUCGAGUAUUCUGUAUCCUCUCAUCCUCAUUCUUAGUAUGAGUUUCUCAUCCCUUCUUCUCUAUCAUUUGUAUUUCUGUUUAGCAUUUCUAAUUCCUAUAAUAGUUUUGAGUUGAGUUGUAAUCCCUUUUGCGGUUGAAGUAAUAGAAGUGUUGAAUAACUGGUUUGUUACGAUGACGAUGUUUAUUCCUAGAUUCAGUGGCGAUAGCAACCUGGAAAGCUGGAAUUUUCGAGCCGAGUUAUACUUCGCAUUCCUUGGCUUCUCCAAGAAGGAUUGACUGUCUCUUCCUUCCUUCUACCUAGAAGGCGAUUCCUCGGUUCAAUUGGUUAUUUCGCAAUAACCAAUUCUAUGAUUGGAACCAUUUCAAGGAGAAAUUUCUUCUGCAUUUUCAGACACCGACCUUCACUGAUUCAGCGAGAACGACAGAUAUUUCAGUAGCUUGUGUUGACUACAUGAGUUGUGCUACAGUGGUUCUACCGUCGACUUAUGUGUCUCCUUUUGCUGCUCAGAGUCAUAUUCCCAGCUUUUAUGAGCCUUCAUCUACUCAAAUCCCGGAAACUCAUGAACCCAAGGUUCGUCUAGUUGAUAGAGACAAGUAUGCGACUGUCAUAGACGAGGUGUUUGAUGAAACCUCCCCAAGUAAUGUGACUGCAAUGCAUUCUCAAUUUUCAAAUGAUGAAGCUCAAUUAGUUCCUCAUGUUGGACGAGAUUCUUUCAUGCCUAAAGUGAUUGGACAAAUUGAUACUUUGUCUAUAGAUUCUAAAAUAUCUUUCGAUGCAAUGAAGAUAAACUUUGAUUCAGGCGAUGGAGAAUCAGAGGAGGAUCGGCGAGGCUGCACUAAGGUGGAGGAAAAUUUAAGCAACGGUGCAGAUCAGGUGGUUGAUAAAAAUCCUCAACAAAAUACCAACGAACAACUCAUUCGAUUUGCACCUAUGAUUAUGGAUCUUUUUGCUACCUUGGUCCCAGGUGAUAAGUUUCCUUUUUGUCAAAUACUCAUCGUGCUUGUUAGUGUCAAUUUGAACUAUGGCCAUAUGCAUGAUAUUUAUUAUUGUUGUCAUAUGAGAGCUUGCACGUAUCUUUACUGUGCCUAUGAAUCAAGAAUAGGGAUUAUCCCGUUUUGUAGUUGUGUGGACGAUUGGUUUGACAGAUGACAAGAUUUUAAGGCUGAAUCAUGUGUACUUUUAUAUAUUGAAUCUGAAGAUUUAUAUCGAAAUGAGGAGUUUUUAAAGACAAAGGUCAUCACCUCUAAUAUUGAACAAUUUGGAGGAUGGACAGUUUGGAGGAAAUUUUCUAUCCUUAGGCUUUCACUGUAAACCAACUUUGAAGGAAGAAUUUAAAAAUAUAUUGUUGUUCCAACAUGAUUUCAAAAUUCAUUUAGACUAUUGGUGUGACAAUGGACGAGGACACUUGUUGUGCAAAUUGCGAGUGCCUGCUCGGGAGGAGAAAGUACAGGGGGUGCUCCAGGAAAUUGCUCAAAGUUAUUCCAAGCAGUCACCAAAUAUUUGGGUCAAUAGAGUCAUUAGGAUCUUGUUUGCGAUGUCUGGUCUAGUUCAUAAAGCAAGGUCUACUUCGCCGUAUAUUAUUUUUGAUCCUGGUGGGGUUAAUACUUCUCUUUGUGCGACGAGCGAGCAAUUGCCCUUUAGAUUAGUGAAAGACCUCACCAUAGAAUAUUAUGAUGCCACACAACAUCACAUGAAGACGCAGCCCGGAGUAGCUGCACUUGCUGCCAUGUUACAUGGUGGGAAGUACUAGAAUUGAAGAGUGCGUAUAAAUUAAAGCUUCAGGCAGUGCAAGGUGUUAGUUACACAUUUUUCGGUGUCACGAAAAAGGGUGCAAUCGAGAGAUAUGGUGGAGAGCAAGCUUCUAAAAUUAUUUAUCCGUACUUCAAGGUGGAUAAUUCUAGCGUCGACAGGUCUGAACAUGUUAAGGGGUGUUGUCUGUAUUAUGGUGCUUUCAGAAUUCCUUUUGAUCCUAACAAUGCUCUUGAUGGAGUUCUUGGCAUCCAAUUAUCCGAGGCUAUUCCUUACAUUGUGGCAUAUCAUGUGAAUAUUGCUUUUGAUAGAGAAGGAAAUGACUCUAUUGUGACCAUAAUGGAUUUCACUGCGGACUCCUUUCCACUAGUGCAAGCUAACACAAUGACUCUUUCCUUUUCACCAGGAACUUAUGCCGAAGAAGAAUGGACAUCAAAGGGCAUUGCAGAUACUAUAACCAUUUUGAUAAGCUAUAUGAGGAUGUCUAUUUCUGUAUGCAUUACAUUGGGUGAUAAUCCAUGCUUAUCCUCUUCUUAUAAUUCAUUACGGUUAAAUGAUUUGACUGAUUGAGAAAUUUACAAUAACUUGGAGGGAGAGUUUCAAGUGCCGCAAAAAGUCAGUUUCCAUUUAACCAAGUUUAUGCUUUGGAGGAGGUUAGCUACUGGAAUGUUUACCUGGGAUCUCUCAUUUAGCUUACGGCUAAAUGCUUCUACAAGGUGGCAAGCAAAGACAUAUAUAUGGAAGAUUACAAUGGCACUCCAGUUAAUACAUCUGCUGCUAUCUAUUAAGGUUUCUUGAUCAAACUAGGUGGUUCGCUAGUGUCCUGGAAAUCUAAGAAGCAGACAACAAUAUCUAGAAGUUCUGCUGAAGCAGAAUACAAGAGCUUGGCAGCCACAAUUGCUGAAUUGGUUUGGCUAGUGAGGCUGAUAAAGGAGAUAGGAGUUGAGGUUUAGUUGCCUGUGAACAUUCAUUGUGACAGCAAGGCAGCAAUACAGAUUGCGGCAAAUCCAGUAUUUCAUGAACGAACAAAACAUAUUGAUAUAGAUUGUCAUUUUAUAAGGGAGAAGAUAUUAGAAGGACUGGUUGCGACCAAGUAUGUUGGAACAAGAGAACAAUACGCUGAUUUGUUGACAAAGGGAUUAAGCAGAAUUCAACAUGUGUACUUGAGUUCCAAACUAGGUGUGUUUGAUGUGUUUACACCGCCUAGCUUGAGGGAGAGUGUUGUGAGAGGGGUGACUUAAUGUAUAACUAAUUAAGGGUAGUUUAGUCUAUUUAACACUAGGUAGUUAGGAGUCCAAAGUCGGUUAGUCAUUUCUAUAAAUAGGGGUCGUUUGUGCAGUGUAUUUUCAGUUUUAACAGAAUCAGUUUCUGCAUUUUUAAUUCAGUCCAUUCCCUUCUUCUCUUC